GGUCCGGUAGCUCAGUCGGUAGAGCAAAUGGCUUUUAACCAUUGGGUCCCUGGUUCGAGUCCAGGCCGGAUCACCA
RNAcentral lists this transfer RNA (76 nucleotides) under Acidobacteriota bacterium. RNAcentral's name for it is "Acidobacteria bacterium (activated sludge metagenome) tRNA-Lys". It matches the Rfam family "tRNA". From Rfam's summary of the family: Transfer RNA (tRNA) molecules are approximately 80 nucleotides in length. Their secondary structure includes four short double-helical elements and three loops (D, anti-codon, and T loops). The record is from RNAcentral. Lineage: Bacteria; Pseudomonadati; Acidobacteriota.